UACGAAGGGGGCUAGCGUUGUUCGGAAUUACUGGGCGUAAAGCGUGCGCAGGCGGCUCAUCAAGUCAGAGGUGAAAGCCCAGGGCUCAACCCUGGAACUGCCUUUGAAACUGUUGGGCUUGAGUACGGGAGAGGUGAGUGGAAUUCCGAGUGUAGAGGUGAAAUUCGUAGAUAUUCGGAAGAACAUCAGUGGCGAAGGCGACUCACUGGGCCAUUACUGACACUGAGGUGCGAAAGCGUGGGUAGCAAACAGG
Molecule: ribosomal RNA, 253 nt
Filed under: uncultured bacterium
Lineage: Bacteria
Description: partial 16S ribosomal RNA
Rfam family: Bacterial small subunit ribosomal RNA
Source: RNAcentral